UCACUUCUUCCUUAAGGAAUACGAGAGU
RNAcentral lists this small RNA (28 nucleotides) under Bombyx mori (domestic silkworm). RNAcentral's name for it is "ovarian small RNA-25488". Lineage: Eukaryota; Metazoa; Arthropoda; Insecta; Lepidoptera; Bombycidae. The record is from RNAcentral.